GAUGAACGCUGGCGGCGUGCCUAAUACAUGCAAGUCGAGCGAACGGACGAGAAGCUUGCUUCUCUGAUGUUAGCGGCGGACGGGUGAGUAACACGUGGAUAACCUACCUAUAAGACUGGGAUAACUUCGGGAAACCGGAGCUAAUACCGGAUAAUAUUUUGAACCGCAUGGUUCAAAGUAAAGACGGUACUUGCUGUCACUUAUAGAUGGAUCCGCGCUGCAUUAGCUAGUUGGUAAGGUAACGGCUUACCAAGGCAACGAUGCAUAGCCGACCUGAGAGGGUGAUCGGCCACACUGGAACUGAGACACGGUCCAG
This 316-nucleotide ribosomal RNA is filed under the name uncultured bacterium. Its description in RNAcentral is "bacterial SSU rRNA". It matches the Rfam family "Bacterial small subunit ribosomal RNA", at positions 28 to 334 of the family's 1533-position model. The record is from RNAcentral.